UACUGCGCAGGCGCCAUGAUCCGAAGUCGGGCACCAAGUCAUCCGGGUUAGGAACCCUGCGCCGGCCCAAGUCGCUGGCCACUUCCCUGCUGACGCUGACUUUUGAAAAAGGAGCUGGAAAGAAGAGCCUUGGCUUCAGCAUCGUGGGCGGACGAGAUUCUCCAAAAGGCAGCAUAGGAAUAUUUGUCAAGACGGUGUUUCAGAAUGGUCAAGCAGCUGGUAAACUCAUAGAAGGCGAUGAAGUGCUGACUCUCAACGGAGAGAGCAUGCAGGGACUCCUUCACAGCGAGGCUGUGACCCUGUUCAAGUCGGUCCGGUCGGGUCAGGUCACGCUCGAGGUGGCUCGCAGAGAAGGCACGGCAAGUUCCAGGCAAUUGAUGUCGAAGUCCUGUGAUAAUCUUCUGAGGGUCCAAGAAUGAUCCACCGCUGUCAACAUUCUACGGCACCCUUCACUUCGUGAGCUUUGGUAGCCAGCUAUCCGCGGGCCGAGGAGCCGGGUCUUCGGGCGAUUCCCCGGUAGCUGGCAGCUGAGCAUCCGCUCCUGUCCGCGGGCCGAGGAGCCGGCUCGUCAGACUAUUCCCCGGUGGCUGGCAGCUGGGCGCUCGCUCCUGUCCGCGGGCCAAGGAGCCGGCUCUCCAGACUGUUCCCCGGUGGCU
This is a long non-coding RNA of Pollicipes pollicipes, 656 nucleotides long. RefSeq lists it as uncharacterized. The transcript is spliced from 4 exons. Lineage: Eukaryota; Metazoa; Arthropoda; Thecostraca; Pollicipedomorpha; Pollicipedidae. The record is from RefSeq and is a predicted model, not a curated record.